UUCGGGGAUUUUGGAAAUGGGGGCAACCCUGACCCAGCCAUGCCGCGUGUGCGAAGAAGGCCUUCGGGUUGUAAAGCACUUUCGGACGGAACGAAAUCGCGCGGGUGAACAAUCCGCGUGGAUGACGGUACCGUAGGAAGAAGCACCGGCUAACUACGUGCCAGCAGCCGCGGUAAUACGUAGGGUGCGAGCGUUAAUCGGAAUUACUGGGCGUAAAGCGUGCGCAGGCGGCGCCGCAAGUCAGGCGUGAAAUCCCCGAGCUUAACUUGGGAAUGGCGCUUGAAACUACGGUGCUGGAGUGUGGCAGAGGGAGGUGGAAUUCCACGUGUAGCGGUGAAAUGCGUAGAGAUGUGGAGGAACACCGAUGGCGAAGGCAGCCUCCUGGGCCAACACUGACGCUCAUGCACGAAAGCGUGGGGAGCAAACAGGAUUAGAUACCCUGGUAGUCCACGCCCUAAACGAUGAUGACUAGUUGUUGGGGGAGUUAAAUCCCUUAGUAACGCAGCUAACGCGUGAAGUCAUCCGCCUGGGGAGUACGGUCGCAAGAUAAAACUCAAAGGAAUUGACGGAAUCAC
This 575-nucleotide ribosomal RNA is filed under the name uncultured bacterium. Its description in RNAcentral is "bacterial SSU rRNA". It matches the Rfam family "Bacterial small subunit ribosomal RNA", at positions 354 to 922 of the family's 1533-position model. The record is from RNAcentral.